AGAACGCUGGCGGCGUGCCUAACACAUGCAAGUCGAGCGGAGAUAAGCGGAAGGUAACUGAAGCUUAUCUUAGCGGCGGACGGGUGAGUAACACGUGGGCAACCUGCCUUGAAGUGGGGGAUAACACCGGGAAAUCGGUGCUAAUACCGCAUAACAUACACAAACUGCAUGGUAAGUGUAUCAAAGGAGCAAUCCGCUUUAAGAUGGGCCCGCGGCUGAUUAGCUAGUUGGUAAGGUAACGGCUUACCAAGGCGACGAUCAGUAGCCGACCUGAGAGGGUGACCGGCCACACUGGAACUGAGACACGGUCCAGACUCCUACGGGAGGCAGCAGUGGGGAAUAUUGCGCAAUGGGGGGAACCCUGACGCAGCAACGCCGCGUGGAGGAAGAAGGUCUUCGGAUUGUAAACUCCUGUCUUCUGGGACGAAUAAUGACGGUACCAGAGGAGGAAGCCACGGCUAACUACGUG
RNAcentral lists this ribosomal RNA (469 nucleotides) under uncultured bacterium. Its description in RNAcentral is "bacterial SSU rRNA". It matches the Rfam family "Bacterial small subunit ribosomal RNA", at positions 31 to 507 of the family's 1533-position model. The record is from RNAcentral.